RNAcentral lists this ribosomal RNA (448 nucleotides) under uncultured bacterium. Its description in RNAcentral is "bacterial SSU rRNA". It matches the Rfam family "Bacterial small subunit ribosomal RNA", at positions 355 to 825 of the family's 1533-position model. The record is from RNAcentral.
UGAGGAAUAUUGCACAAUGGGCGAAAGCCUGAUGCAGCGACGCCGCGUGGGUGAAGAAGGUUUUCGGAUCGUAAAACCCUUUUCUGUGUGACGAGAACGGACGGUAGCACAGGAAUAAGUCUCGGCUAACUACGUGCCAGCAGCCGCGGUAAAACGUAGGAGACAAACGUUAUCCGGAGUUACUGGGCGUAAAGGGCGUGCAGGCGGCAGUCUAAGUCUGGCGUGAAAUAUCCCGGCUCAACCGGGGAAGGUCGUCGGAUACUGGGCAGCUAGAGGACGGUAGAGGCGUGUGGAGUUCCGGGUGUAGUGGUGAAAUGCGUAGAGAUCCGGAGGAACACCAGUGGCGAAGGCGACACGCUGGGCCGUACCUGACGCUAAGACGCGACAGCAUGGGGAGCAAACAGGAUUAGAUACCCUCGUAGUCCCUGAGCGGGCUGGCAAGGCGCAU